RNAcentral lists this long non-coding RNA (1021 nucleotides) under Anas platyrhynchos platyrhynchos (common mallard). Its description in RNAcentral is "lncRNA (ENSAPLG00000020436.1)". The record is from RNAcentral. Lineage: Eukaryota; Metazoa; Chordata; Aves; Anseriformes; Anatidae.
AAGUUAGCCAAUUAAAAUAGAACCACACAUAUAAGUAAUCCCAAGAAAGAGGCAAGUGAUUUUGCAAAUAGCCUCAUGAAAUAAAAAUGUGUGCUUGAAUACUUGGGGGGUGGGGAGGGCAGGGCAGGGCUGGGCAGGGCAGGGCAGCAGGGGGAAUAGUCUAGGGGAGAGUAAAGGAAGAGGGAAAAGUAUCAGCCAGCCUACUAGGUCAGCUAAUUAUACUUAUUUUUAUGCCAUUCAAACGUAAUUGAGAAUGGGAAUGUGGUCCAUUGAAUGACCUACAUUAGCAGCAGAUUUCUGUAUUCCUUUAGGGCAGCAAGCAACCAUUUUAAUAACUGCAUAAGUCCAGAGAGUGCUGUGACUUCAUUAGGUCAGAGUUGUGGUGGGAGAUGCCCCUGACAGACUGACAGAGACCAUAACAUAAUUUUCAGGAGAAAAAAAAAAAGAAAAAAAAAAAAGAACGAUGCAAAAUUCCACUCCCCCUCUCCCCCCAAGACAAUUUCCCAGGAUGAAAAAAAGAAGGUUCAAGCUCCUCAGCUGUCUGAAGAUGUUAGAUGUUUCCAAAAAAAAAAAAAAAAAAAAAGAAGAAGAAAAAAAGAAAAAAAAAAGACUGACCUUGUUGCUUGAAAGUAGCUUAUUGGUAAAGAGGGAAAAGACAAAAGGAAUCUCCCUGACUGAAGUUUGCUAUGUUGAACAGAGAUUUACCAAAUAAAUAACGUACAUCACUUCAAGCAUUAAGGUCAUUUUUAAUUCUGACCUGAAAUCUGAAAAUGACCUACAGAAGACUUUUAGAAGAAGGUGACAGGAGCUGUUGAAGUCCAGUGGAGGUGUGAAGAAAAUACAGGAAAAAAAGUUAAUACUUUCCCUACCAGUUCUUGACUGCCUUAUUGGCCCUUUGGUAACAAUGGAAAAUUAAGCACUUUUCCCCCUACCCCCUGCCCCCACCCCUCAACUUUUUUUUUUUUUCUCUCUUCGGUACUGGUAAUUUAUAGGUAUUUGUAAGCAUUAUAUACCAGGGGAA